Molecule: ribosomal RNA, 788 nt
Filed under: uncultured delta proteobacterium
Lineage: Bacteria; Deltaproteobacteria
Description: bacterial SSU rRNA
Rfam family: Bacterial small subunit ribosomal RNA
Source: RNAcentral
AUAGUUUGAUGAUGGCUCAGAGCGAACGUUAGCGGGAGGCUUAACACAUGCAAGUCGAGCGAGAACGUCACUUCGGUGGCUAGUACAGCGGCGGACGGGUGAGUAACACGUGGAUAAUCUGCCCUUUGGCGGGGGACAACAGCUCGAAAGGGUUGCUAAUACCGCAUAAGUCUUCGCAGGCCCCGGUCUGUGGAGGGAAAGAUGGCCUCUUCUUGAAAGCUAUCACCGAAGGAUGAGUCCGCGUAGCAUCAGCUUGUUGGUGGGGUAAUGGCCUACCAAGGCUAAGACGCUUAGCUGGUCUGAGAGGAUGAUCAGCCACACUGGGACUGAGAUACGGCCCAGACUCCUACGGGAGGCAGCAGUGGGGAAUAUUAGACAAUGGGCGCAAGCCUGAUCUAGCCAUCCCGCGUGAGUGAUGAAGGCUUUCGGGUCGUAAAGCUCUGUGGGGAGAGACGAAACGUUGCAGGAACAAUACCCUGUAAUCUGACGGUAUCUCUUUAGCAAGCACCGGCUAACUCCGUGCCAGCAGCCGCGGUAAUACGGAGGGUGCAAACGUUGCUCGGAAUCAUUGGGCGUAAAGCGCGCGUAGGCGGCUUGAUAAGUCGGAUGUGAAAGCCCUCGGCUUAACCGGGGAAGUGCAUUCGAAACUGUCAAGCUUGAGUAUGGGAGAGGAUUGUGGAAUUCCCGGUGUAGAGGUGAAAUUCGUAGAUAUCGGGAGGAACACCAGAGGCGAAGGCGACAAUCUGGACCAAUACUGACGCUGAGGUGCGAAAGCGUGGGGAGCAAAC